UACUACGGCCAUGCCACUCUGAACACGCCCGAUCUCGUCUGAUCUCAGAAGCUAAGCAGGGUCGGGCCUGGUUAGUACUUGGAUGGGAGACCACCUAGGAAGACCAGGUGCUGUAGGCA
RNAcentral lists this ribosomal RNA (119 nucleotides) under Pteropus alecto (black flying fox). Lineage: Eukaryota; Metazoa; Chordata; Mammalia; Chiroptera; Pteropodidae. The record is from RNAcentral.